CAACUUCCUUCAGAAGAAUGAAAUCCUCAUAGUCAAGUCAUGCGUUUAUGUGCUCACCAUCGGUGGUGCCUUUUUGCUCUGCCCCCAGCCCGAGUUUUCCGGGCCUUUCCAUCUCUUUUCUAUCUCCACUCUCCUGCCCUCACCCACUCUACCUACCUCUACCUCUGCACCCACCAAUCAGAGUGCCUUUUCAUGUCUGGAACCAAUCAGAAAGCCUCUUCUUCCAAACAUGUAUUAAGCAUCUGUGAAUGGGCAAAGCCUCUCUGACAAAAGAAAGCACAGAAGCUUUGAGGUGUCCACUCAGGAAAGACAAUCUGUAGGAUGGGAGAACUGCGUACUAGAUGGCACUUAAAACCACAUGAUUGGAUAAGACAUCACUGGAUGUCUCAUCUACAUCAGUGAUUGGAAUGGGAAAGGAACAGAGUCUAUAAUGAAGGUACAUCCUAAUGGACAUCAGCAGUCCCCUGCAAGUCACUCCAUUCAGAAGAGAUUAUGAUGGGUCUUGAAGACAGAUUAAGAAAUUGGGGCCUGGAGUGGGUAACCUGCCCAUGGUUAUGCAGCCAGUUUGAGGAAGAUCAUCACCAAAUACCACCUUGAACUUCUAGAGCACUAUCUGGAAUGUGUGGUGCUGACACCGUAUAAUUUACUGUUUCAUUUUAGUCUUCCCUGUGUGGUUUUGUUCUCUGGCUGUUUUGUGUUCAAUUGGAGUAGAUUUCCUUAGCCUUGGGUUCCUUGUAUAAUUAUUCCA
Long non-coding RNA from Cercocebus atys (sooty mangabey), 748 nucleotides. RefSeq lists it as uncharacterized. The transcript has 3 exons. The record is from RefSeq and is a predicted model, not a curated record. NCBI's taxonomy places the organism in Eukaryota, Metazoa, Chordata, Mammalia, Primates, Cercopithecidae.